UCAGCACAGAGCCCGACGCGGGGCUCGAACUCACGGACCGCGAGAUCAUGACCUGAGCCGAAGUCGGCCGCUUAACCGACUGAGCCACCCAGGCGCCCCAGGCUGGGGACUUCUUGAGACAGGCUGGAAGAGUUGGCUUUGAGGAUACAAGGUUAGAGUGAUUUAGAUGGAGGUCAAGGACAAGUUAGAAAUAAAGAACGAUCCCUGAAAUAAAACACACAGCGAGGCUGGUGUGGGAGGAAUCCCAACUCUUUUCGGAAGUCACUUGGGGCAAUCAGGGUGGGAAAAUAGGGCAUGGACUGUUCAGAUUCUUGAUCCCCAAAGAAACCCUAGAUUCUAGAAUUCCCCGGGGGAAGGUGCUCCUAACCCACGAGCCUAGACCUUUUUACCUUUCGUCUGGAGGAUACACAGAUGUGUCCAGGAACAUCAGUCUGGAUCACCAAACUACACUUCUUGGGAUUGGCCUGGAGGUGGCGCCCUUGCUGUUGGUCUGGAACCAUUGGACGGAGGCUCAGGCAGGUCUGGAGGAGGAUGUUACCCAGUGGAAGAUGUCCUGAGGGCUAGCCUGGUCCCUUUCAUCUCCUGGAAGAGAACAGGGGCGUCGCCCAAGCCUAAGAGCACUGCCACGUCUUUGAAUUGCUCCAGAAUGAGGGAGGUAAUUGAUUUCCUUAUCAAGAUGCCGGGCGAUACAUUUUUCACGGCUUUCCGGGCACACGGCGGAUCUAAAACCAUUGUCUGGCUGAUGCAGGUUUCAGCUCCAAUCAUUUUUAUCAUCAAGGUAAACCUGCUGGCAUAUGUUUUUUUUCAAAUUUUAUUCAUAAGUGUUGUCUUUUACCGGUCAAAUAAAUGAUAGCGUUCUUUACUUUGUGAUUGCGUUAUCCAAAAAUAAGAAAGGGUUUUUAACAAUGAUCAAAAUGAAGCUUGUUAGAUCAUUUCUAAUGGUAAUGAAUUGGUUCCUGAAGAUUUGAUUAAAGACAAAACUAGGUCAGUUUAAGCAGAGUCCAAAUGAGACAGAAAGAAAGUCCAUGGAGGGGAAGGAAAAAAAAAAAAAAAAAAAAAGGAAGGUGUAGAAGCAGAGACACCGUAAAAGAAAAAAUUUGAAAAGUAUCAGGGCGCCUGAGCGGCUCAGUCCAUUAAGCGUCUGACUUUGGCUCAGGUCCUGAUCUUGCGGUUCAUGAGUUCAAGCCCUGCAUCGGGCUCAGUGCCGACAGCUCAGAGCCUGGAGCCUGCUUCAGACUCUCUGCCCCUCUCCCGCUUGCACUCUGUCUCUCUCUCUCUCUCUCUCUCUCUCUCUCUCAAAAAUUAAUAAACAUUAAAAAUACUUUUUUAAGGGGCGCCUG
RNAcentral lists this long non-coding RNA (1340 nucleotides) under Felis catus (domestic cat). RNAcentral's name for it is "lncRNA (ENSFCAG00000048820.1)". Lineage: Eukaryota; Metazoa; Chordata; Mammalia; Carnivora; Felidae. The record is from RNAcentral.